Molecule: ribosomal RNA, 218 nt
Filed under: Lamproderma arcyrioides
Lineage: Eukaryota; Evosea; Eumycetozoa; Stemonitida; Stemonitidae
Description: partial small subunit ribosomal RNA
Source: RNAcentral
AGGCUAAUACGUGAACGUAAAACMUAGUUGACCGGGUUUCGGCCUGGGAUUNUGGGGGAUGUGUGAUUGCAGGCUUGGUUUAACCGGGAAUGGGCGCACUUCCAGACCGCGCUAAAAAGGAUCGGGCUUUCGGGCCUGGCCCCAGCGGCUCUUGCUGUGUGCUUUUGACCUAUCAACUAGACGGCAGCGUAAGGGACAUGCUAUGGUGACAACGGGAC